UACGUAGGGAGCAAGCGUUGUCCGGAAUCAUUGGGCGUAAAGCGCGCGUAGGCGGCCCUGUAAGUCCGUUGUGAAAGUCAAAGGCUCAACCUUUGAAAGCCGAUGGAUACUGCAGGGCUAGAGUCCGGAAGAGGCGAGUGGAAUUCCUGGUGUAGCGGUGGAAUGCGCAGAUAUCAGGAGGAACACCGGUGGCGAAGGCGGGACUCUGGGCCGAUACUGACGCUGAGGAGCGAAAGCGUGGGGAGCGAACAGG
RNAcentral lists this ribosomal RNA (253 nucleotides) under uncultured bacterium. RNAcentral's name for it is "partial 16S ribosomal RNA". It matches the Rfam family "Bacterial small subunit ribosomal RNA", at positions 524 to 776 of the family's 1533-position model. The record is from RNAcentral.